Molecule: long non-coding RNA, 2002 nt
Organism: Eurytemora carolleeae
Lineage: Eukaryota; Metazoa; Arthropoda; Copepoda; Calanoida; Temoridae
Exons: 2
Source: RefSeq, a predicted model, not a curated record
UUUAUAUAUUUUUAUGAAACCCCUGCACUGGCUCCUUGGCUACACAAAGAACGCAGACCUUGAACAAAACAGGCAACUUCAAUCCUGCAAGACAAACCAACAAGCAGUUCAAGUCAGGAUAUGAGCUAGAGAGGUUCCUCCAAGUCUCGAUAAAACAACCUGUUUGACUCCGUUAGAAAUACAUCAUUCUAAACGUUCUUUAUUGGCUCCUUUAUUGGUUCAACUUAUACAACUACUCAUCUAUUGAUUUAUUAUUCUUCUAUUCAUUUAUCCAAUUAUCGACACAUACUUUUAAUCAUAAGUUUAAUUAUUCGUCACUUUUUCUCUUAUUUUAUCAGAUUCUCCAUCUAUUUAUCUACUCAUUCAUUCUUUUAUAAAUUUAUUCAUUAAUUCAAUUAUUCUUUUCACCAUGGAUCAUUUAUUUAAUGUAUUAAUCAUUUACUCAUUUAUCUAUUUGUUCUUUUCAUUUAUUCAUUUAUACAUCCAUUCACAUACUCACCUGCCCACCAAUAUACACAUUUAAUUAUUUAUUUAUCCAUUUUCUCGUCUAUAUAUUAGUUAAUAGCUUAUUCCCUUAAUUAAUUUAUUCAGUUAUUUAAAUAAUUUUUCAUUUCUCCGAUUAAUGCUUACAUCCAUCUAUCGACUUCUUGAUAAAGGAUGGGAUGGAAUAUGGUAUAGAAUAAGACCACAGUACUCUUGUAUGGAACAUGAAGUUAUUCAAGGAGGUGUAUAACCAAGAUAAUAAAUCAGCAAAUCAGAGAUAUAAAGAGAUGGGCCACUUUUACGAAAGUUCUUGAUCAGUGCCUGGUAUCAUCAGAAUACGAGUUCAAAUUGCUCUCAUGUUCCGAACAAAGCAAAUAUAUUAAACAACAAUUCUGCUAGCAGGCACAUCAGUAAUAAUAAAACUUACAUGAUCUCUUUUUCCAUUAAUUACAGUGCAGGCCAUAGAUGGAGCAUACUCCUUUUGUUUCUCUGACAGAGCUUGAAACAUCACAUUGUCAAACUUAAUGCUAAAUAUAAUAAAUAAAAACAUUUUCAAGAUGUUUUUUUAUUAACUUGUUGUUUAAAGAGAAGUUGGUGACUUUUUAGUAUUUUCGCGUUGAGGCGUUUUUAAUUAAGGAUAUACUCAACAGACAUGACAAACGUCAAACAAGUCUGUUUUAAAAGUCUGCAGAGAGUACUGUUUUUGGAUACGAUAGCCAGAUGUUUCACCUUCUUCUCUUGGCGGCAAAUUCUUGAUUUUACAGUUCUGGUAACUGGCUGAAACUAACGUAUUUUAUGUUGGAGUAGGGUUUGACGAAACUUGCAUAUUAAAAAAAAACACAAAAAAUCAAUGUGAACAUCCGACCCUAUGUCAAAUAAUGUUAAAAAUUUGAUAUGUACUGUAUACAUUAUACACAUGUACAGUGUACAGUGGUUGAUGUAAACAAACACACAUGUCCAGUUUUUCAAUAAUUGUCAUGGAGGAACCUUGCUGUUUUGUUUUUGGGAAACGCGGAAAAAAUAUUCUCCAGGAUGGAGACUUUUUCCAGUAUUCCAAGAAUUAUACCAAAAAAGAAAAGUCUUACUGGAAAUGUGUAAAAUCAAGCUGCAAAGGAAGAGCUAUCACAAGUGGGGAUUUUAUUGUAGAAAAAAUCCAUCAUGAUCACACAGCAGAUAUUUCUCUUGUCAGGAAAACUGCUCGAGUAUUUUGAGAACACUUACAUUGGAAAGGAAACCAAAAGCUUCAGAAAACCCCCGAUGUUUACUUUAGAAAUUUGGAUGUCUGUGAUGAAAUUUUGAAUAAUGAACCCACCACAAACAACCAAACUGAACGAUGGUUUAGAAGUUUCACAGCUGACCAACCUGGAAUACAGACUGCUGGGAAGUCCUUUUUAGGUCUUAGAAGAGAAGACACAUUGGCUAAACUACUUUUCAAAGAGCUCUAAGACAAGACCUACAUUGAUCCGAAGGCAGCUCAAUCGGCAAGAAUUCUUGAAAGAAAUAAACGUUUUAAACAAAU